This 295-nucleotide ribosomal RNA is filed under the name uncultured bacterium. RNAcentral's name for it is "partial 16S ribosomal RNA". It matches the Rfam family "Bacterial small subunit ribosomal RNA", at positions 775 to 1067 of the family's 1533-position model. The record is from RNAcentral.
GGAUUAGAUACCCUGGUAGUCCACGCCGUAAACGAUGGGCACUAGGUGCCGGGUCUAGAGACGGAUUCGGUGCCGCAGCUAACGCAUUAAGUGCCCCGCCUGGGGAGUACGGCCGCAAGGCUGAAACUCAAAGGAAUUGACGGGGGCCCGCACAAGCGGUGGAGCAUGUGGUUUAAUUCGAAGCAACGCGAAGAACCUUACCUGGGCUUGACAUCGUAGUGACGCCUUCUGGAAACAGAAGGGUUCCUUCGGGACACUAUGACAGGUGCUGCAUGGCUGUCGUCAGCUCGUGCCG